CCUGCCCAAGAGAUCGGGAUAACACCUGGAAACAGAUGCUAAUACCGGAUAACAACAGAUGAUGCCUAUCAACUGUUUAAAAGAUGGUUCUGCUAUCACUCUUGGAUGGACCUGCGGUGCAUUAGCUAGUUGGUAGGGUAACGGCCUACCAAGGCGAUGAUGCAUAGCUGAGUUGAGAGACUGAUCGGCCACAUUGGGACUGAGACACGGCCCAAACUCCUACGGGAGGCAGCAGUG
RNAcentral lists this ribosomal RNA (237 nucleotides) under uncultured Lactobacillus sp. RNAcentral describes it as "partial 16S ribosomal RNA". It matches the Rfam family "Bacterial small subunit ribosomal RNA", at positions 125 to 356 of the family's 1533-position model. The record is from RNAcentral. Lineage: Bacteria; Bacillati; Bacillota; Bacilli; Lactobacillales; Lactobacillaceae.